This is a small nuclear RNA of Suricata suricatta (meerkat), 198 nucleotides long. Its record names the gene U2. It matches the Rfam family "U2 spliceosomal RNA". From Rfam's summary of the family: U2 is a small nuclear RNA (snRNA) component of the spliceosome (involved in pre-mRNA splicing). Complementary binding between U2 snRNA (in an area lying towards the 5' end but 3' to hairpin I) and the branchpoint sequence (BPS) of the intron results the bulging out of an unpaired adenosine, on the BPS, which initiates a nucleophilic attack at the intronic 5' splice site, thus starting the first of two transesterification reactions that mediate splicing. The record is from Ensembl. NCBI's taxonomy places the organism in Eukaryota, Metazoa, Chordata, Mammalia, Carnivora, Herpestidae.
AUCGCUUCUGGCCUUUUGGCUAAGAUCAAGUGUAGUAUCUCUGUUCUUAUCAGUUUAAAAUGCAUAUUGAAGAUUGUGUAGGGUUGCUCUAGAUGAUUAUUAUAAAAGUAGGGGUGUUUGGCUGCCUCAGUUGGUGGAUCCUGUGACUCGAUCUUAAAGUUGUAGGUUUGAGCCUAUCUUGAGAGUAGAGUUUACUUA